This 254-nucleotide ribosomal RNA is filed under the name uncultured bacterium. Its description in RNAcentral is "partial 16S ribosomal RNA". It matches the Rfam family "Bacterial small subunit ribosomal RNA", at positions 524 to 776 of the family's 1533-position model. The record is from RNAcentral.
UACGAAGGGGGCUAGCGUUGUUCGGAAUUACUGGGCGUAAGGCGCGCGUAGGCGGUUUUGCAAGCCAGAGGUGAAAUGCCUGAGCUCAACUUAGGAAUUGCCUUUGGGACUGUGAGACUUCGAGGACUGGAGAGGUGAGUGGAAUUCCCAGUGUAGAGGUGAAAUUCGUAGAUAUUGGGAAGAACACCGGUGGCGAAGGCGGCUCACUGGCCCGUUGCUGACGCUCAGGCACGAAAGAGUGGGGAGCAAACAGG